UAGCUAUUAAUUUAAAUCUUAAAAUUUUAAUCUUGUAAAUUAAAAACAACUUUUCGUUAUAGCUAA
Molecule: transfer RNA, 66 nt
Filed under: Eurytoma sp. ZJUH_2016013
Lineage: Eukaryota; Metazoa; Arthropoda; Insecta; Hymenoptera; Eurytomidae
Description: tRNA-Thr
Source: RNAcentral